AGGAGCCCAGAAAUGGGUAUGUGU
Molecule: non-coding RNA, 24 nt
Filed under: Mus musculus (house mouse)
Lineage: Eukaryota; Metazoa; Chordata; Mammalia; Rodentia; Muridae
Source: RNAcentral